This 253-nucleotide ribosomal RNA is filed under the name uncultured bacterium. Its description in RNAcentral is "partial 16S ribosomal RNA". It matches the Rfam family "Bacterial small subunit ribosomal RNA", at positions 524 to 776 of the family's 1533-position model. The record is from RNAcentral.
GACGUAGGGCGCGAGCGUUGUCCGGAUUUAUUGGGCGUAAAGAGCUCGUAGGCGGCUUGUUGCGUCGACUGUGAAAACCCGCGGCUUAACUGCGGGCUUGCAGUUGAUACGGGCAGGCUAGAGUUCGGUAGGGGAGACUGGAAUUCCUGGUGUAGCGGUGAAAUGCGCAGAUAUCGGGAAGAACACCCGUGGCGAAGGCGGCUCUCUGGGACGGUACUGACGCUGAGACGCGAAAGCGUGGGGAGCGAACAGG